Molecule: small RNA, 28 nt
Filed under: Bombyx mori (domestic silkworm)
Lineage: Eukaryota; Metazoa; Arthropoda; Insecta; Lepidoptera; Bombycidae
Description: ovarian small RNA-11609
Source: RNAcentral
ACGUGAGCGGCAGCGGAUUACCCCACGC